This 73-nucleotide transfer RNA is filed under the name Pseudobdellovibrionaceae bacterium. RNAcentral's name for it is "Bdellovibrionaceae bacterium tRNA-Lys". It matches the Rfam family "tRNA". From Rfam's summary of the family: Transfer RNA (tRNA) molecules are approximately 80 nucleotides in length. RNAcentral also lists the same sequence under 2 other names. Lineage: Bacteria; Pseudomonadati; Bdellovibrionota; Bdellovibrionia; Bdellovibrionales; Pseudobdellovibrionaceae. The record is from RNAcentral.
GCGCCAGUAGCUCAGUUGGUAGAGCAGAUGACUCUUAAUCAUCGGGCCCGGGGUUCGAGUCCCUGCUGGCGCA